AUGUCGACGAAGCAAUACAUAAGCAUCCUCCUGCUAACAAGCAUCUGGAGCGAAAGCAUGAAGCACAAGCUUCUCAAGGAAAAGCUGACACCUAAUAAGGAUGAGAACAACGUAGAUGCUAAGAGGCAACCUUUUGGGGUUAAGGAUAUAAACAACAACAGGGCUUAUGACGCCAAAGAGAGCUUGAGUUGCGGCUUUUGGAUCUUGAAGCACUGCACUUUCCUGGUGGAGUGGCAGCAAAAUAGUUCAGAGGCUUUAAAGCUACUGCACUUCACAUAG
Molecule: ribosomal RNA, 279 nt
Filed under: Triticum aestivum (bread wheat)
Lineage: Eukaryota; Viridiplantae; Streptophyta; Magnoliopsida; Poales; Poaceae
Description: partial small subunit ribosomal RNA
Source: RNAcentral